Molecule: unclassified non-coding RNA, 566 nt
Filed under: Hevea brasiliensis (rubber tree)
Lineage: Eukaryota; Viridiplantae; Streptophyta; Magnoliopsida; Malpighiales; Euphorbiaceae
Source: RNAcentral
UUUUGUUUCUUUGUAAUUUUUUUUAUUUGUCUAUAUUAAUGCAAAAUUCUUGUUUUACUGAAGAAGAAAAUUUGUUAAGGUUUUGGACUUCAACUUUAGUUCAUUGUUUAUCCCUUCAGAACUCCUUCCCACCCCUUGCCUAAUUAUCAGAAAAGGUGGACUUGAGGUCUUCAUUUUGAAAUGGGAAAUUGAAUAUAGAUAUUAUAGUGUUUUCUUUAUUAAAUAUUAGCGUCACACUAACUGCUUUUAGAAUGUAACAGAUGGAGUUGGGCUUUCUUAGUUUAGGUUGUUGGAACUGAUAAUGUGAGUGUUAAGGGUGUAGGGAAUAUGGCUUCCUUUCAGUGAGAUUUCUUUAUUCUUUAUUCUUUUUUUUGCCCCUCACCCAAGCCUCUUAGUGACAGUUUUUAUUUAUUUAGUGAUUUUCAGAUACAUGCUCUGCAGUGGCUGAGUUAGACUAUUAAGUAUUUAUUUAUAUUUGUGGGUUGGGGGCUUUAGCAUUAUAAAAUUGAUAAGUUACUUGUGUUUAUAUGUAAUAUUUUCUAUAAUGUGCUAAUCGCUCAAGGUCA